RNAcentral lists this unclassified non-coding RNA (365 nucleotides) under Hevea brasiliensis (rubber tree). Lineage: Eukaryota; Viridiplantae; Streptophyta; Magnoliopsida; Malpighiales; Euphorbiaceae. The record is from RNAcentral.
AAAGGAUCCUUCAAAUGUUUGCUUUUCCCAGAAUGAUUAAAACAUUCGAGUUUUCCAAAACACAAAUUUGAUGCGACAAGAGAAUGAAAAAUACACAUUAAGCAUAAAGAUUACUUCCAUAGAAAGUAACCUGUUAGGAAGUAAAAAAUCAGAAAAAACAACAAUAACCAAUGAUACCACAGUAAUCCGAGCAUCGAUAGCCAAAAUUGGUACACGUCCACCAAAGAGAACAAGAGGACAGAGAAAAGAUGAUUCGGUUUAUCAGUAUAUCGAAUAAGAGAAGUGUACUCCAAUCAAGAGGUUCUAGUUAUAUUGCAAUGGAGAAGAGAGUUCCAGAGUCUUUCAUCAGUGACCCGUCAUUGACA